AUGGGGUCGGCUCCUUCUGGAGCUGGCGACGAGGGAAACUUUGGAUCGCGGGAAUGGCACCUAUCAUUGGAGAGGAGGGUCGUGAUUUUUUUAGCGAGAAAAUUCGGGAAACCAGCGCUCCCGUCGGGAGGGGGUCGACAAAAGGAAGGUAAAAAUUGUGGACUAGUAGAGUGGAUUGAUCCAUCUUGGCCCAAUACCCUUGAGAAUGCACUGUCCAAGUUAUGGUCUAUGUAUGAACAGACUAAGAUAGACAGGACUGAGGAAUGUCUGAUGCAUUCAUUUGCUGUCCAUGACCUGAUACAAGAGAAGAAGAAACUCCAGGUAGCCUAUGAGAAGUUGGUUGAAGAUGUAAAUGCACUUAUGGAUGCCCAGGAGCAGAGGGCAGUGAUACAAAUGAAAGAUGCUGAAACCACCAAGUUGCAGGAGAAGUAUGACACUGUGAAGAACAUAGCAGCUGCUUAG
This 462-nucleotide ribosomal RNA is filed under the name Triticum aestivum (bread wheat). Its description in RNAcentral is "partial small subunit ribosomal RNA". Lineage: Eukaryota; Viridiplantae; Streptophyta; Magnoliopsida; Poales; Poaceae. The record is from RNAcentral.